GCGGUAGUGGUGUAAUGGUUAGCACGGGGGCCUGUGGAGCCCCAGAAGCGGGUUCGAUUCCCGCCUACCGCC
RNAcentral lists this transfer RNA (72 nucleotides) under Candidatus Woesearchaeota archaeon. Its description in RNAcentral is "tRNA-His". It matches the Rfam family "tRNA". Rfam says of the family: Transfer RNA (tRNA) molecules are approximately 80 nucleotides in length. Their secondary structure includes four short double-helical elements and three loops (D, anti-codon, and T loops). The record is from RNAcentral. Lineage: Archaea; Nanobdellati; Candidatus Woesearchaeota. RNAcentral also lists the same sequence under 1 other name.